RNAcentral lists this long non-coding RNA (2419 nucleotides) under Mytilus galloprovincialis (Mediterranean mussel). The record is from RNAcentral. Lineage: Eukaryota; Metazoa; Mollusca; Bivalvia; Mytilida; Mytilidae.
UUAUAUUUGUUAAACCGUGAUAUACGAGCUAUUUAUUUUUGUUAAUAUUUUUACAUUUUUAUCUUGAUAUCGGAGAGGUUUUUCAUUUGUAAAGUAUAUGCAUAUAAUUCAUUAUUAAUGGAUUCGAUUGUGCACUCUUCUUGCCUUAUUAUUUUAUUCAAAGGUGCUGAUCUUGGCGUUGUAAGUCAAAUCCGUGAAUAUUAUUAUAAAGUAUGCAGAUGGAGUAUGGUUCCUAGAGAUCUAUGGCAUAGGUUGCAAAUAUUAGUCACCGUACUGCUUUCAAAGAUGAUCAUAACCUAUAUUAAGCUUUAAUAGGUCACGUAACGACAAAUGUGAAAACAUUCUAACCAAUAAACUAACGGCACGAUAUAUGUAGAAAACAUGAAUGAAAAAAAAUAUACAGCAACAAACAACAAUUUAAUAACAAUUAACUUCUUGACUUGCGACAGGCAUACAAAUUAUGGCGCUGUUAAACAUAUUUACGGACGCCCAACCCUCAAUCUAACCUUUGACAGUGGUCAAACAGCACAACAUAAAACAAAGUAUCAAAAUCAGUUGGUAGGGGUUUUAUAUUUUCAUAUUGACUCAUCAGUACAAUAUGAAACACUAAAACGACUUGAAAAUACACUCAUGUCACAAAACACAAGUCUGGUAGUACUCACAGUUACUUAAAGAUUUUACGUAGCCAAAAAUAAAUACAUAAAACAAAAUCAUGUAUCUUAGACUCUCAGUCAUAUCCUUUCUGUCUAAACGGAAAGUAAAGUUUGCAUUACGAUAUACAUAUCAAACGCAUGUCUACUACAAUUCUAUACAUUUUUUUUAUAUUUGUCAUGAAUAUUAUAUUUUCUUUGUCAAGUUUACAUGUCAUACAUCGUCUAAUGUAAUGAUUACUUUUGUAUCGGAGAAGACCUCUCGUUAGUAAAGAAAACAGGUGGCUUUUCCAUUGUUUUGUUUUGAUUUAACAAUUCAGUAUUUUUAAAGUAAAAGUAUUAAUCCCCAUAUAUUACAAUAACCAUUGUAACACUCGUUUAUUUAUAGAUAUGAUUCUUUUUGCUUUCUUUUUAUGUAUAUAUAUAUAUAUAUAAUAUUACACACAUCAUUCAAUUCAUUGCAAUUUUCUUUUAAAAAAAAUCUUCUCCUUGGUAAAUGAAACGUCAUGUGUGUCCGAUUUUUCAUAAAAUUAACAUAAUGUAAUGUACGCCGGAGUUUUGUAAAAAUUAAAUGUAUGCCCGAUCUUUCAUAAAAUGAAUAAAGCACAUACAAGGAAAGUUUAUUUCAAUAUUAAUAUUUUUUAAUACGCUUGCUUUGUAAAUGGAUCUUUCAAACACAGUUUUUACAAAAUCUAGUUCAGUUAUAUCCUUUUUUACACGCAAAAGGUGCACAUAUCUUUAGACUUUUUUAAACGUUUUAAUAGUAAUUUAAUAUUUGUGAAAAUACUUUUUGGGUCAAGUUCGUAUUAUGUAUAUAGAUGCAUAUAUCUACGGUAACUAUUUUAUUACAAGGCAAUUAGUAGAAUGUUGUUUAUAUAAUUUCUUGCAGAAUGCAUUCGCAGUAAUGUGGCAUUUAAGUAUUUGUACAUGCACAAAUGUACAAUUUUUUUGUCCUAAGGAUACAUGUCUGCUGAUAGUUUUUGUGUUGACUUAUCAAUUGAUGUUUGCCUUAACGGUUGCAGUGAUAUUAUUGAUUUUUUAAAUGGAGUACAACUUCAUGGUACCCUUGACCAGAUAUGUGGGUCGAUAUCCUUAGUAAAAUAAAACAAAGAUCAUUAUGCAUAGUGUCGAGAACAGAAUACUGCGGUAUGACAUGAUUGACAAUCUGACUUCAAGCGGAACUUCCCUGUCUGUGAUAAUGACUCAUGUGAACAUCCAGAGUAGCAUAUUAGGGCAAAAAAUAACUAUUUUAGAUUUAAAAAAAUACCUAACUUAAAACUAAUAUAAGUCCUUUUCAUAUAUUCGUCUUUUUUUCUUUCAAAUUGUUUCAUAUUUGUCGUGUCGCGAUCUAUUAUUGCCGACUAUACGGUAUGUGAUUUGCUCAUUGUUUCAGACCCAACAGUGACCUAUAAUUUCUGAAAUCCACGCCAUUUUGAUUAUGUUGGAUAUCUGUCUUAUAAGCAAUCAUUACACAUCUAUUUAUUUUGUACAUAUAUCCAUUUUAUGAUAAUUGAAACAUUCAUUUGUCUUUUAUAAUUUUCCCUUAUUUUUCACGGCGAUUGUACGGCAUUAAUGUUGUCUGCCGUCUAUACAGAGAGUCCGUUUUUUGUAUUGCCAUUAAUAUUUCAUCGUUAUCAUUAAUGUUGUUGUUGUUAAACAUGUUAAAGAUAUUUAACAAAUUAUUAAAAAUAUUUGUGUACUUGUUAUUGUUUUCAAUCAAAAUUUUGUGAUUAUUCAUAAUUUUUGCUGUUCAUACAAGACUUUGUGCU